GGCUUGAUAGUUUAAAAAAAAUGCUGAAUUGCAAAUUUGGAGAUGUAAUUAAUACUUAAGCUU
This 63-nucleotide transfer RNA is filed under the name Ibacus alticrenatus. RNAcentral describes it as "tRNA-Cys". Lineage: Eukaryota; Metazoa; Arthropoda; Malacostraca; Decapoda; Scyllaridae. The record is from RNAcentral.